Molecule: long non-coding RNA, 633 nt
Organism: Ipomoea triloba (trilobed morning glory)
Lineage: Eukaryota; Viridiplantae; Streptophyta; Magnoliopsida; Solanales; Convolvulaceae
Exons: 2
Source: RefSeq, a predicted model, not a curated record
AUACUCCACUGACCUCGAAUUGUUGAACUUCUCUACCCACAUUCCCAUGCUCACAUCCUCCAUUUUGAACAACUGCAGCAUGUCAAACGUGUUAAAGGAUCUCCUCUUUUUUUUCCCACAGAAACCCUCAAGGAUAUAGAAGUACAAUCAAAGAGGGGCGAGGGGAGAAAAGAGGGAAUUGAUACAAGUAAAAGAUAUCAUACCCUCAACUUAUGUUGCUCAAAAUCAGAGACGAUGGACUCCGCAACAUCAGACGAGAUGACAUAACCAGGCCCAUUCGCGUAGGGUGGAUAAUCUUCUUCUGGCCAUUCCUGCAACUCCCAAGAACAAAAGUGAGGUGAUAAACAGGCGAAUUUAGGGUAAACUCCCAGGCACCGAUAAAGCAAUUUGUGCCAUUCAGCAAAUAUUUACAGUUCUGUAGAGAAAAACAUUUAGACAAAACCAUUGAAGUAUAGCGGGCAUGAGCGUGUAACUCUACGUAGGAGGAUUCAAAUACAACCUCCAGCCCACUCACAUGUACCAAAAGAAUAAUGAUAGUAGUGAGUGCAAGAGAAAAAAAUUUAACAAUGACGUCAAUUUGUCCGUAGGGACAGUUAACUUCUGAACUCGAACAUGAUAAGAAACUAAUCACAA